AUUGAACGCUGUCGGCAGGCCUAACACAUGCAAGUCGAGCGGAGCGGCGGACGGGCGAUUAAUGCCUAGGAAUCUGCCUGGUCGUGGGGGAUAACGUCCGGAAACGGGCGCUCAUACCGCAUACUAUCAGAUCAGCCUAGGUCGGAUUAGCUAGUGGGUGGGGUAAAGGCCUACCAAGGCGACGAGCCGUAACUGGUCUGAGAGGAUGAUCAGUCACACUGGAACUGAGACACGGUCCAGACUCCUACGGGAGGCAGCAGGGGGGAAUAUUGGACAAUGGGCGAAAGCCUGAUCCAGCCAUGCCGCGUGUGUGAAGAAGGUCUUCGGAUUGUAAAGCACUUUAAGUUGGGAGGCGUUACCAACAGAAGAAGCACCGGCUAACUUCGUGCCAGCAGCCGCGGUAAUUC
Molecule: ribosomal RNA, 407 nt
Filed under: uncultured bacterium
Lineage: Bacteria
Description: partial 16S ribosomal RNA
Rfam family: Bacterial small subunit ribosomal RNA
Source: RNAcentral